Molecule: ribosomal RNA, 253 nt
Filed under: uncultured bacterium
Lineage: Bacteria
Description: partial 16S ribosomal RNA
Rfam family: Bacterial small subunit ribosomal RNA
Source: RNAcentral
UACGUAGGGGGCAAGCGUUGUCCGGAAUUAUUGGGCGUAAAGAGCGCGCAGGCGGCUCUGUAAGUCUACCGUGAAAGCUUACGGCUCAACCGUAACGGGUCGGUGGAUACUGCAGAGCUUGAGGGCAGGAGAGGAAAGUGGAAUUCCCAGUGUAGCGGUGAAAUGCGUAGAUAUUGGGAGGAACACCAGUGGCGAAGGCGACUUUCUGGACUGUUACUGACGCUGAGGCGCGAAAGCUGGGGGAGUGAACGGG